CCAGCAACACAGGCACGAGAGCGGCUGGGUGUGGAACGGAGGCGCACCGCACGCACUGCAUGCCCAGCCGACACCCGCGCGGACCCCGGCCGCGGCCCCCCGGCGCCCCUCGGUGCCCGAGCCCCCAGCCCGCGAGCCUCACCAGACAGCCGGUAACUUUCCAGGUCCGUUUUCACUGCAGGCUCUCUCCCGCCUCGCCUUCACUCCCAGAGCGCAAACAGGCGCACGUACCCCGGACGUGCUCUCCUCUGUCACACCGGUCCCCUUCUAGAAGACAUGUGACCCUGGAGCAGCUUGGCGACGCGCUCUUCCCGGACUCUGGAGCCAUAACUUGUAUCGAGUUUGCCAGUUCACAUGAUGCUGGGGGCAGUGGUUUGAACCGAGUUUCAAGGGACCUUCGGAAUCUCUAGGUCCUCUGGCAAGGAGCUUUCUUGAUCACCCAAGUUGGAUUGCAUUCUUUGAGGAGUCGAUACUUAAACAAAAAAGGAGAAGGUGGCAGUGGAUGCUGGGUAGCCAAUCCAGAGUCUGCUACAGGAGCUCAGGGAUGACGCCUCUGAAAUAAAUGACAUUUAAACUUAAGAUGAGUAACAGCAAGAAGUAAGGAGGACGCACCUUCAGGCAGAGGGAGUCGCGUGUGUGGUCUGACCACGCCACCUGUUAAAGGUGUACAUGAAAUUCCUCAUUUACUACGUCGACCCAUAAAGGAACUGAGCUGGCUCAUCUUUGAAAUGCCAUUCAAGCAAGGAAAAUGGAACACUGGAAAUCUUGCUGGGAACCCCUGCAGCAUAGGGGCAGAGAACUUAGUGGAGGAAUGCCAGCUGAUGUUACCAGCUGCAUGUCAGAGUGUGGCUACCAACGUGACAUCACUAAAUGUGGGGCUGGGAAGAGAGGAGCAAAGUAGCUCUCAGAAGCCAGUAUAAGCAUCUCCAGGACACCACUGAAGUGAAAAUUGGAAGCAAUAUAGAAGGCACCAAAAUGUUCUGCCUUUUCUUUGUCUUGGAUCACUGGUUAUGGAGGAAGCCAGAUGCCAUGUUGUGAGCCGUCCUAUGGAAAGGUCCACGUGGCAAGAAACUGAGGCCUCCAGCCAACAGCCAAAGGCCUAGGCUUGGGAGGGAUCCUGCAGCCCCAGUCAAGGCUUCAAAUGACAGCACCCUUGUGGCUACAAUCUUAUGAGAGACCUUGAGCUGUUCCCAGGUUCUUGAACCAUGUGUUGUUUUAAGAUGCUAAUUUCCUUAAGACAAUUUGUUACACAGUAACAGCCAACUAAUAUACCUGGCCAGAAGGAUGCUUUUAGAAAUUUGAAUCUAAAUGCUUUGGGAUUGGGAAAAUAUCUCCCAAUUUGUCACAGACUCUUAUCUCUACCCACCUCAGGCUUUCACCCAGUUCAUAGAGACAUCUGAGCUGAAAAUACCUGUAUGACUUUCAUCAGAUAUUCAAUGGAAGUUGCGUAUUUUAAAGAAUUGACCCAGGCCAUAUGUUUUUCUAAUUCAAGCCAAAAAGAAAACAAGUUUGGCUAUAAAAAAUGUUUGGGAAACGCAGACAUGAGCUAAUUCCUACUCCUAUUGCAUCCUGACAUCUUAAAGUCUAUAGGGUGUGCUUCAUGAAAGAACUCUGUUUAACUUUCUUUAGUCUAAUUUUUAGUCUAAUCUUGGUCUAAUAUUUCCCAAAAUUUAGUUAGUUACCUUUCAUUUCUUUGUUUCUUUCAUCCUUCAUUGCAUGAUAGCUCUCACCAUACCAUGGAACACUUCAAGAAAUGCUGUGCCACUUGCAUAUCAGAGCUCCUAAAAUUGUGAGGUUUGCAACAUCACCCAUGGUGGACUAACAGAGACAUGAAUUAGAGUCUUAGCUUUUUUGUGCUAAGUGAAUAGCUAGCGCAAAGUGAACAGCUAGAGUCCUGUCUGACCUGGUGUCCUAGGAAUUUGCCUUGCUUGCUUUUUUAUUAUAAUCCAUUGCCAAAUACAGGUGCAUAGAGGAGUCAUUCUUUAAGCAUUAAAUUGCUACCAUACAUCCUGCCUAGUGCCUGGCUGUCACUCAAGGAAGCAGAAACUGGCACUUGGAGUAGAUCACCCAGGAACAGGGGCAGCCAGGUGUGGGUUUCCUGAUUGGUGGCAAGGCAGGCAACCUGAAGCAUACCUCAGAAGGAAGAAGUUGAAUGACACCAGAGACCAUCAGUCCUCUUUUUCCAAUGGGAGAGACUUAGAAGGGCUACUAUAGCUUAGAAGAAUUGUUAAUGGUAUUCAUUUGCUCCCAUCUGUAUCCAUAGGUGGCCUUUGUGGAGAGAAAGAAGGAAAUGUAUGGACAUUGCCAUUUUCCAUCUUCUGACAAAGAGUGUCCUCUUCUUCUCCAAGUGCUUUGCUGGGUUGAGUUGUCUUAGUUUGAAUUCCUCCUGAGGCAGACCCUGAGACAAGAUUCCAGUGUAAGUAGUUUAGUGAGGUGGUGGUGCCAGGAAACCCUGUAGAGUGCAGAGAAGAGAACAAGAGGGAAAAGGAAGCCAGUGAAGAGGAAAGAUCAAGCCAGUUACCACCGCAAGCAAGUGGCACUUAUCCCCACUGGGAGCUCUAGGAGUCAAUGAGGACUCAGCUCAGAGUUUUCCCUGCAGGGAGCUGGGCAUUUUGUCCACAAACUCCUAUGAGUGAUUGGAGGGAAAUAACUCCCCUUUUUGAGGGGCAAUAAUUCCCCUUUACUGCCAGCCUCUCCUGGCAGUCAGAGAGCCUGCAGGCAAGGACCAAUGGUGCCAACAGUUAGAAGUCAGGCCUGGGUGCAUGGAAAUGGUAAAUUGUCUGCUACAAAAGUCAAUUUCUGUCUUUCCUGAUGGCUUCCUCUUUCACUUUCAUUUAUGCUUGGUCUCUUUCCCUAAUCCCUCUAGUUCUUCUAAGUCACUGAGUGCCUCUUUCUAGAAGAGCCAAGGCUCACCUGUCUACCUGAUCUUUCAGGCAAACUUACCUGCACUUCUGCGAAGUUUUGGUCAGUCUCCUCCGUGUCCUUUUCUACCCCCGUUGGACUCUGUUAGGAGUCUGAGAUGCAAUUAGAUAUCACAUGCAGGAUAGUUAAUAGAAAUCUAGUUUCUUCACAAGCAUGCAUAUUUUAAUAACUUUUGGUAGCAACCAACCACUUUGAAAACUUGACCGUUGCUGUUUCCCUGAUAAGCUAUUCAAUUUAAUUUACUUGGUUGUAGUAACCAUUUGGUAGUUAAUCAAAGAGGAAAAAUAUUUGAAUCACUUAAGUAUGUGCAGACAUUUUCUCUUCAUAUUGACUUUAAUCACAAGUCACUUUCUUUCUGUUAAACAUCAGGUAAGCAAAUUUUCCAAGUCUGAUAUAUAAAACCUCUGAAUUCCCAUUUCUUCAUAGUUAACUAAAAGUUGAGACUGUUGCUUCAAAUCUUGCUGGGUUUUGUUUUUUUUUUUUUUUUUUGCUGAUGAGAUAAAUGAUUUUAUGUGUCCUAUGACUUUAGAAAGAUCACACUGUUUAUUCACAUUAACUAUUACAUUUUGGUUAAUAGUUAAAGUAAAAAUGUCCACCCAGCCUUUCCUCCCUCCAAGACUUUGCUGGGAUUCAAGGCAGGCCACCCCCAAAUGUACCUCAAUGGCAUAGUGAUUAUUUUUAAUUAAAGGAAUUUAAGAAAUGGCCAACACAAGAGGGACACCUUGACCCUCCUUUCCGUCGCCCUGAAACAAGAAUUAAAUCUCUCAUGGGAAAGCCACACUCUUUGCAUCUGGAGGUAGAAGGGCACCCUUAAUUGCCAGAGACAGGGAAUUAGGGCCAAGAAGCUUACAUAAACAAACACUGUUACUUCUUUAAUCUACUGCCUCAAGCCCAAUCUCUGUUUAGAUUCUUCACUAAUUGAGCUCUCAAAACCUACGUUUCUUUAUGCUGUCAAUUUCUCACAAAUUUAUAUUUUGUCUCUCUAAAAAGAAUAAAAGCUGCCUGCUUUGGCCACUUCUUAGGUCCCAUUUCUAUGAGACCUCCAUGUGCAUGAAUUAAAAUGUUUCUUUUUGCACUGUUA
Molecule: non-coding RNA, 4003 nt
Organism: Globicephala melas (long-finned pilot whale)
Lineage: Eukaryota; Metazoa; Chordata; Mammalia; Artiodactyla; Delphinidae
Source: RefSeq, a predicted model, not a curated record